RNAcentral lists this long non-coding RNA (3293 nucleotides) under Marmota monax (woodchuck). Lineage: Eukaryota; Metazoa; Chordata; Mammalia; Rodentia; Sciuridae. The record is from RNAcentral.
AUCAUGAAGUUCUAUUUUGUUUUUUGAGCUCAUACAGACCUAGGUUAAUGUUUUGCUGAUCAGUUCUAUUUUUUGACUAUAGAGUUUUUAAACAUUGCAAUGGAGAUUUCACCUGUAAAAAGUUAUAAGGCCUUUACUAUUAUGUUAUGUGUUGUGUGCACACUUGUGUUUUAUGUUGUAUGUUUGUAUGUACGUAUGUCCAUAUAUCAUAUAUGAUGAGCGCUCAUGAAAAAAUGGAUCCAAAUAUUUUUUUUUUAUUCACGUGAUUUAAAUGGUUUAAUUUAAAUUGGGUAAACAACUGUUGAGGAUUGUUUUAAUAUGUGAACAAAAAAGGAGGUUAACAGAUCUGUUUGUUUACUUUCACCUUUCCUUUUCAUUAUAUUUAAUAAUUCUCUUCAAGAUAAUGUAAAUUGUUAAGAAAAUUGUUUUCUUUUAGUGCCUUCUGGAAUGUUACAUAAUUUUUUCUUUAGCCAUUAUUGCCAGAAUUCCUAUCUUCAUCCCAGUGCCGGUGAAGACAAAGAUAAAACCAAUCUACAGCUUCUGCAAUAGCCAUCACUGAACUGCUUGCAGAACUUGCCUGGACUAUGUAUCACUUGUAUGCAUUGUGAACUCACCUGUAUGCAUUGUGAACUAUCUGUUGGUGCAGCGACUUGUGGUAGUGUUGGGGUAUUUUUGCUGAUGAUGUCAUCGGUGGUACAAUUUUUCCAAAAUGAGCUGUCAAUUGGCUUGGUGUAUCUUCUUCCCUUCUGCUUGUCAUGAUCGUUCAGUUAAAAUUUGGGGGCCAACAGAGGUGAGGCAAAGAACCUCACCCCCCCCCGCUGGUACAAAGACCUCUCCACAGGUGUGGCUGUAUACUGGACCAGUAGUCAGUGACUGGUAAGAUCCAAUUACAAUGGUACCAACCUAAGACAGGAGGCUGACGACUUGAGGUCAGCUCAUCCGAUAACGGGUAAGGACCAUAUGUACUAUUGGACAACCUAAGGCAGGCACGGUCCCUAAGCCACAUGCUUGUUGUUUAAACAGAGAGGGGGAGAUGUUGAGAGCCAAAAGCCGAAGGGCCCCAGCAAACUUUCAGACUGCCAGCUGAUGAUUGGCUCACAGCGCCCCAGCAACAUCUAGCUGAUUGGCUCCUCUGCGGUGAUACUCAUUGGGCUGUUUCCCCACCCUUUCAGACUGCCAGCUUAUGAUUGGCUCACAGCAGCCCCAGCAACAUCUAGCUGAUUGGCUCCUCUGCGGUGAUGCUCAUUGGGCUGUUUCCCUGCCCUUUCAGACCACGGAGCUGCUCAUUGGGGGACUUUUUUGGCUCUGCCCACGCGACCCAGCCAAUCAGCCUCAAGAGCAGGAGGAUUGUGGGAGAGAGAGGCUUGUGGGAAGCCGGUGGCGGCAGUUGGGCUCUGAGGGUUUUUCCUGAGGAGCUGUUUUGUUUGGCAUGUGUGGUUCUAAAAAUAAAGUUCAUUUCUUUUGACAAGUGGCUCCUGAAUUGUGCCCAGCCAGACUGCGGCAGUGGGGGAUGAAGAUGUUUCUGCUGUGACUUUUCUUAUUCUCCAGCAUGAGCAGGAAAGGGUAAGAGUUAAAUAGUUUUAAUCUUUUUUAGCAUGACUAGGAAAUGACAUGCAUCCUUUCAGCUCACAUCUCAUUGCCAGAACUCAAUCACAAAAUCUUACUCAGCUUUAAAGACGCUAAGGAACAUGACCUCUAACAAGGCAUCAGAACGCCCAGCUAUGAUUUUGAAGUUCUGUUACUAAAGAUAGCAAAGGGGACUUCCAAACUUCCCUCUCAGUAGAACAGACCUCAUUGUCAGAAAAUUGACAGAGAAAAUCUGAAUCCUAUCAACAAACUGAAUUUGGUUGACAUUUAUGACAUAUUCCACCCAAUAACAGUAAAAUACGCAUUGUUUUGAAGAGCACAUUUACCAGGAGAGACUGGUCAUACAAUAACUUCAACAAAUGUUAAUAAAUUGAAAUUCUGUAAAAUAUAUUCUCUGCCUUUAAAGGAAUUAAACUCAAAAAUCAGUACAAUAUCAGGAAUAUCUUCUACCAGUUGGAAAUUAAAAGAAACUUCUAAAUAAUCUGUCAAAAAAUAAUUCUCAAGAGGAACAAAAAAUAUUGAGCUAAAUAAAAAUGAAAAUCCAAUGUAUCAAAAUCUAUGGGUCACAGUAGUGCUUAGUGAGAAAUUUAUAGUAAUAAAUACUUAUAUAGGAAAAGUUUUGAGAAAAAAUUCAAGUUUCUAACACAAGAGACAAAAACCAAAAUAAUUGAAGGCAAGCAUGAGAAAAUAACAAAUUUAAGACCAGAAAUUGAUGAAGUGAAAAGCAUAAGAAUAAUGAAAUCAAUUAAAAUAAAAACUAUUUUGAAAAGAUUAAUAAAAUUGAUGAACUUUGGGUUGAGGGUGUAGCUCAGUGGUAGAGCACUUGCUUCAUUCACAUGUAUGAAGCCCUGGGUUUAAUAUCCAGAACCAGGAAAAUAAAAUUGGUGAACUUUUAGCAAGACCAACAAAGAAAAAUAGAGGGGACCAUAAUUACCCAAUAUCAGGAAUUUGAGAAGAAAUAUCACUACAGAUUGUGCAGAAAUGAGAAGGGUAAUAAAAAACCAUUACAAAAACAAUACACUUAUAUAUUCAACAACUUAAUAAAAUGGGGAAAAAAUUUGAAAACCACAUGAUUAAGUACAGUUAAAUGCCACACAAUGAUAUCCUGGUGAACUUUAUUCCACAUAUAUGACAGUGGUCUGUCGCAGUCUGGCUGGGCUCGACUCAGGAGCCACUUGUCAAAAGAAACGAACUUUAUUUUUAGAACCACACACGCCAAACAAAACAGCUCCUCAGGAAAAACCCUCAGAGCCCAACUGCCACCACCAGGCUUCCCACAAGCCUCUCUCUCCCACAAUCCUCCUGCUCUUGAGGCCGAUUGGCUGGGUCGCGUGGGCGGAGCCAAAAAAGUCCCCCAAUGAGCAGCUCCGUGGUCUGAAAGGGCAGGGAAACAGUCCAAUGAGCAUCACCGAAGAGGAGCCAAUCAGCUAGAUGUUGCUGGGGCCGCUGUGAGCCAAUCAUCAGCUGGCAGUCUGAAAGUUUGCUGGGGCUCCUUAGGCUGUGGCUCUCAACAGUGGUCCCAUAAAAUUAUAACGAAGCUGAAAAUUCGUAUUGCCUAAUGGCAUUGCAGUUGUGAGGUCAGAGCACAAUGUGUUACUUUUGUGUUUAUGGUGAUCCUGUUGUAAAUAAAACUACUGCAUUGCCUAUUGUAUCCAAGAAUAGCAAUACAAUUAUGUACAGUACAUAGCACUCAAUAAUUAUAAUAA